RNAcentral lists this transfer RNA (82 nucleotides) under Nestor notabilis (Kea). It matches the Rfam family "tRNA". Rfam says of the family: Transfer RNA (tRNA) molecules are approximately 80 nucleotides in length. The record is from Rfam by way of RNAcentral. Lineage: Eukaryota; Metazoa; Chordata; Aves; Psittaciformes; Psittacidae.
GAUGAGGUGGCUGAAUGGUGAAGGAGAUGUACUGCUAAUCCACUGUGUUCUGCAUGUGUGGGUUUGAAUCCCACCCUCAGUG